This 488-nucleotide ribosomal RNA is filed under the name uncultured bacterium. RNAcentral describes it as "partial 16S ribosomal RNA". It matches the Rfam family "Bacterial small subunit ribosomal RNA", at positions 355 to 849 of the family's 1533-position model. The record is from RNAcentral.
UGGGGAAUAUUGGACAAUGGGCGGAAGCCUGAUCCAGCAACGCCGCGUGAGGGAUGACGGCCUUCGGGUUGUAAACCUCUUUCAGUACCGACGAAGCGAAAGUGACGGUAGGUACAGAAGAAGGACCGGCCAACUACGUGCCAGCAGCCGCGGUAAUACGUAGGGUCCGAGCGUUGUCCGGAAUUGAUUGGGCGUAAAGGGCUCGUAGGCGGUUUGUCGCGUCGGGAGUGAAAACAGCGGGCUUAACUCGUUGCUUGCUUUCGAUACGGGCAGACUAGAGGUAUGCAGGGGAGAAUGGAAUUUCCUGGUGUAGCGGUGAAACGCGCAGAUAUCAGGAGGAACACCGGUGGCGAAGGCGGUUCUCUGGGCAUUACCUGACGCUGAGGAGCGAAAAGUGUGGGGAGCGAACAAGGAUUAGAUACCCUGGUAGUCCACACCGUAAACGUUGGGCGCUAGGUGUGGGGUCCUUUCCACGGAUUCCGUGCCGU